Molecule: non-coding RNA, 26 nt
Filed under: Rattus norvegicus (Norway rat)
Lineage: Eukaryota; Metazoa; Chordata; Mammalia; Rodentia; Muridae
Source: RNAcentral
UAGAAAGUUUUUCUGGGAGACCACAG